Molecule: ribosomal RNA, 495 nt
Filed under: Triticum aestivum (bread wheat)
Lineage: Eukaryota; Viridiplantae; Streptophyta; Magnoliopsida; Poales; Poaceae
Description: partial small subunit ribosomal RNA
Source: RNAcentral
AUGUGGACCCGUCUUCGUCAGCGCUAUGAGCCCUCUGGUGAUGCCUUAUACCUUUCCGUGGUCCGUCAGGAGCAUGCUCUUCAGCAGGGUGACUCUACUAUUGAUGAUUUCUAUGCACAGAGUUCUGCUAUCUGGCGCCAGCUUGAUUCUCUCCGCAGUGAUGGUUGUCGUACUUGCCCCUGUUGGCAGGCUGUCCAGGCCAAUUUGGAGUUUCAUUGCGUCUACGAGUUCCUGUGUCGUCUCCGUAAGGAGUUUGAGCCCCGGCGUGCUCAGUUGUUUGCUCGUGGCCGUAUUUCUCUCAUGGAGGCGCUUUCUGAGAUUCGUGCUGAGGAGACUCGCUUAAAUGGUGGUGGUUUGUUGGAGGUUCCCUCUGUGCCUGCUACUCGGGCUCCUUCUACACCACAUGCUGCACCGACCCCUUCUUGCUCGAGUGCUCCGCCGCUCUUUCCCACUACUUCUGGAGGCUCAGGUCGCCCCCGUCCACAUUGCGACUGA